RNAcentral lists this transfer RNA (77 nucleotides) under Candidatus Omnitrophota bacterium. Its description in RNAcentral is "Candidatus Omnitrophica bacterium (sediment metagenome) tRNA-Arg". It matches the Rfam family "tRNA". Rfam says of the family: Transfer RNA (tRNA) molecules are approximately 80 nucleotides in length. The record is from RNAcentral. Lineage: Bacteria; Pseudomonadati; Candidatus Omnitrophota.
GUCCCCGUAGCUCAGUUGGAUAGAGCGACUGCCUCCUAAGCAGUAGGUCGUGCGUUCGAAUCGCGCCGGGGACGCCA